UGAGGAAUAUUGGUCAAUGGGCGGGAGCCUGAACCAGCCAAGCCGCGUGAGGGAGGAAGGCCCUAUGGGUCGUAAACCUCUUUUGUCAGGGAACAAAAGCGAGUAUGUAUACUAGUCUGAGUGUACCUGAAGAAAAAGCAUCGGCUAACUCCGUGCCAGCAGCCGCGGUAAUACGGAGGAUGCGAGCGUUAUCCGGAUUUAUUGGGUUUAAAGGGUGCGUAGGCGGCGGUGCAAGUCAGCGGUAAAAGCCCGGGGGCUCAACCCCGGCGAGCCGUUGAAACUGCAGUGCUAGAGAAGGCGAGAGGUACGCGGAAUGCGCAGUGUAGCGGUGAAAUGCUUAGAUAUUGCGCAGAACUCCGAUUGCGAAGGCAGCGUACUGGCGCCUGACUGACGCUGAGGCACGAAAGCGGGGGGAAUCGAACAGGAUUAGAUACC
Molecule: ribosomal RNA, 435 nt
Filed under: uncultured bacterium
Lineage: Bacteria
Description: bacterial SSU rRNA
Rfam family: Bacterial small subunit ribosomal RNA
Source: RNAcentral